UACAGAGGGUGCAAGCGUUAAUCGGAAUUACUGGGCGUAAAGCGUGCGUAGACGGUUAUGUAAGUCAGAUGUGAAAGCCCAGGGCUCAACCUUGGAAUUGCAUUUGAGACUGCAUAGCUAGGGUGCGGAAGAGGGAAGCGGAAUUUCCGGUGUAGCGGUGAAAUGCGUAGAUAUCGGAAGGAACAUCAGUGGCGAAAGCGGCUUCCUGGACCAGCACCGACGUUCAGGCACGAAAGCGUGGGGAGCAAACAGG
RNAcentral lists this ribosomal RNA (253 nucleotides) under uncultured bacterium. RNAcentral describes it as "partial 16S ribosomal RNA". It matches the Rfam family "Bacterial small subunit ribosomal RNA", at positions 524 to 776 of the family's 1533-position model. The record is from RNAcentral.